AUGGCCUCGACUCCUCUCCUCUUCUUGCUCCUCUCUCACUGCACAGGUCCCCUCUCCCAGCCUGUGCUGACUCAACUGCCCUCCCUCUCUGCAUCUCCUGGAGCCAUAGCCAGACUCACCUGCACCCUGAGCAGUGACUACAGUGUUGGCAGCUACUACAUAAGUUGGUUCCAGCAGAAGCCAGGGAGCCCUCCCUGGUAUCUCCUGUGGUAUAAAUCAGACUCAGACAAGCACCAGGGCUCCGGGGUCCCCAGCCUCUUCACUGGAUCCAAAGAUGCCUCGGCCAAUGCACGGCUCCUGCUCAUCUCUGGGCUGCAGCCUGAGGACGAGCCUGACUAUUACUGUGCUGUAUAUCAUGACAGUGGAAGCAGCAAUGGUUACUUACAUGAAGACCUGCAGUGA
Molecule: non-coding RNA, 402 nt
Organism: Phyllostomus hastatus (greater spear-nosed bat)
Lineage: Eukaryota; Metazoa; Chordata; Mammalia; Chiroptera; Phyllostomidae
Source: the annotation of a RefSeq genome assembly